Rhinichthys klamathensis goyatoka is the source of this 598-nucleotide long non-coding RNA. RefSeq lists it as uncharacterized. Lineage: Eukaryota; Metazoa; Chordata; Actinopteri; Cypriniformes; Leuciscidae. The transcript is spliced from 2 exons. The record is from RefSeq and is a predicted model, not a curated record.
UUUUUUUUUUUUUGUGAGCGUAAUCUCACCUGGACGAGUUUCAUGAGAUUCUCCCAUUAGACUUUGGAUGAUCAAAAGUAUGAAACAUCAGCUCUGUGUUGAGGUGAGGUGUGUGUGUGUGUGUGUGUUGAUGGUAUGCUUGUGAAUGCAGGAUUUUGGGAAGGGUGUGUGUGUGUGAUUGAUAACAACUCUUUUAAAGGAAGGACUGUUGGUUAUUGCAGGCAAGUAUUAUCUCCAUAGCUGAUUCAAGCACACACUGCAAGCAGCUUUACUGAGAUUUGUUCUGCAGAACUGUUUUUACUUUUUUUUUUUUCUUGAGAUAAUCAGUGUGUAUUUAGAAAACAACCUAAAUAUUUUUUUAAUGUACAGAAUAGCUCAGACACUAGGAAAACACACCGUUGAGGUUUUUACUCUUGUGCACUACAGUUUGGUUUGUGUUGAGUGUGGACGAAGCCGGUAACCCGCUGUGUCUCAUGUGAUCUAGUUACAUGCCAGUCAACUGGAAGUAGAAUUAAUGAAUGUAAAAGAAGAAUCACCUUUCCUUCUCAACUGUUUUUGUAUGAAUUAUACAAGUGAAUUAAAGCCCAGAUUAAUAGUG